This 223-nucleotide long non-coding RNA is filed under the name Lonchura striata (white-rumped munia). RNAcentral describes it as "domestica (Bengalese finch) lncRNA (ENSLSDG00000018047.1)". The record is from RNAcentral. Lineage: Eukaryota; Metazoa; Chordata; Aves; Passeriformes; Estrildidae.
CUAUUUUAGCGGCUGGGAACUUUUAUUUCCUCCUUCCCUCCUGGCUUUGCUUCCCUUCAGCUGCUGCCUCCAGAUCGCAUCAAGCACCCCCCGUGGGGGUUUCAAAGGUAGAAACUGCAGCCUUGGAGAUGCUCCGCGGUCCUGCUCAGGGAAUGAACAGAAUGGGCUGGACUUUAACAGGCAGAUUAAAACCGAGGACCUCAGCGACUCCUUGCAACCUGCC